CCCGCGCGCCGGAGGAGUCCGGCGAGCCGUUCCUUCUGCGGGAGGGGAGGUUUUUCUUCCAGUGUGGAUGCUCAACCACCCCUCCUCCCGGUGUCAAGAGCACGCGGUCCGCGCUGAGCUGCGGGUGUAGUCCAGAGGACCGGAGACCUCGUGUUCUGAGGGAGGAGAGACAGCUCACCGUCUCCAGCUGAGGAAGAGUAAGAUUUAAUAAACCUUGGGACUUCCCUGGUGGCUCAGCUGAUAAAGACUCUGCCUGCAAUGUGGGAGACCUGGGUUCGAUCCCUGGGUUGGGAAGAUUCCGUGAAGAAGGGCAUGGCAACCCACUCCAAUGUUCUUGCCUGGAGAAUUCCCAUGGACAGAGGAGCCUGGCAGGCUACAGUCGAUGGGGUUGCAAAGAGUAGGACACGACUGAGCGACUAAACACAUGGUCAGCUAUGGUGGAGCUUUACUCAGAAAGCAUCCUAAAUUCUGAAUCUGUCUUAAGAUGAUCACAUACUUCAACUUGAAGACUAAACUUGAAACAGACUACAGAAGACAAGGACUCCUUUACUCUAGACACAUAAGGUUUUAAUGAAAAUGACUGUGAAGUACAGUAAUCUAGCAACUAUGAGAGAUGUCACCCAGAAGAUGAGAAUGAUUAAGAGAUGCCACAUGUUGCUUUUCUUCACAGAGGACACAGAGGACUAUCCAAGGUGGCCUUCUCAUCCUCCUACUAUCCACCCACCUCACCAUGGGUCUGCAUCCUGAAUGAACGUGUUCCUCAAAGACUGUAACUCCCACACACCAAGCGGUAUCUGGCUGUGUGGGUGAGAUAUUCUCCAGCCUCUCCAAAGCUGUAUAGACAAGUCUGGCUGAAGUUACUGCUACCAUCAUUUGGGGCGUGCUGUUUGUUCCUACAGAAGAUUUUCCAUUCACUUCUUGCCUGGGAUAAACCUCUGUUGCCUAAGGAAGUAGACAGUGUGAGCCGGGUCCUGCCAUGAGCUACAGCCACAGCUUCCUCCUCCCGAGGGUCAGUGAGAAGCCUCCGAACUGCUCAUGUCAUGGGGGGAGAACAGUCUAAAAAACCCUAGGUCUUUUUAGGUUCUGUGUGACUCCACUCCAUGGACCCUCUGGUUUCUGAGACCGUCUCAGUUCUCCCUAGUUUUAGAUUAGUAGCCAUGGUUUCUAUAUAGGAAUGCAGUCUACCAUGUGAUGUGAUGUCCAUCUUUCCCUCAAGCAAGCCAAAAAGAAAAAAAAAUGGUGCAGGUGUUCUUAAGUUCUUAGAAAUUCUAGGAUUGAGCAAUGCCCUUCGUGGAUUGGCUGACCAACAGGAUAUGGGAAUUUAGGAAAGCUGCAAAUGAGGAAUCUUUCAUAUCAGAAAAAAACGGAUCUUGGACUACUGGCAGUGAUGGUAUGGAUGAGAAAGAAUGUAGUCAUUUCAUCCUUGACCAAGACGGUAAUAUCCUCUCUCGAUAAAGGGUUAUAGGCAAUGGAUUAACUAGUUAAUGGGUUAACUAAUAGAAGAAACCAGGGAAAUGUCCUAACAGAUUUACCAACCAUUAGGACUGCAGCAGUUGUAGCACCUGAAUGAAGUCCUUUUGAAAACUGACCACUCAAAGAUUGCUCCGUAAUUACCCCAUUUCUUUUCUUUGGGCUUCCUUUUCCUAAAUGGAAAUUGCUACUAAUGGAACUAAGGAAAAGCAUUCACAUCCUCUCUGGGACAAGACUGAAAAAGGCAGUCUCCCUUUCUUGAGUGGCGAGCGUGAUGGCCAACUACAAGUAUCAAAGAUGGAGAGCCACGGGUGGAGGGGGAAAGUGGACCAGCAGGUCUCAUGGACCUGCUUGCAUAUAUUCAUUUCCAUAGAUCCCAUUUCUACAGAGUUUUAAAGGGCUGGUGAUUUUAUUUUUAAAUGGUAAAGAAAUUCCUUCAAAGGUAUAAUCAGGAGAAGUCAGAGUUCUUCUGGGCAUGAAAGAUUGGCCCAGCCCUAGGACAGAACCAUUUACCUCGUGGGACCUUGUCUGGUUAGAGGAAGUCCUAACUGACUCCUGUGAGUGAUCUUCCUGCUUACUCAGGAGGGUGAGGCUUUAUUCACUUGGCUUUGGGGCUUAACCCAAAUCACUGACUCAAUGGACAUGAGUUUGAGUAGGCUCUUGGAGUUGGUGAUGGACAGGGAGGCCUGUUGUGCUGCAGUCCAUGGAGUUGCAAAGAGUCAGACAUGACUGAGCGACUGAACUGAACUGACGUGGGGCUUAACAGGAUAGAAUCCAGGAACUGACACUGCCAGCCUUGGCAUUAGUGGCUGCAUCAUUAGUGAAUUAUUUGACAUUUUAGCAGGCACUGGCAUGUGAAUUUGGGGUUUUAUAUACCAGAUAUCAAUAUUUUAGCAAUCUUUGUAAGAAGUCCUUUUCCUUUGCCAAAUAUUUGAGAGGAAAAAUUCUCCUGAAAAGUUAAAAUAAAAAAAUUUAAAGGAGAAAGCAACAUUUUAUUGCUUAAUGGAAGGAAGAAACUAAUCUGAAAGUUUGGACUUCUGGAGAAAAGUGCUAAUCUUUUUGAGUCCUAUUUUGCACAUUGCACAUUGCUAAUUCUUAUACCCAUUUCUGACUUGAGAUCUAAGUCUAAACUUAGACACUUUGAAUUACUCAGAUAAUGGAUGUGACUGUAUCUCCGUAGGAUGGCUGUGGUAUUUUGAGUAUAGUGUUGAAUUAUUUUGAUCAUUCAUGUUAAUACAUUCAUUCAGUGUAUUGUGAUGCUCUCUUUCUCAUCCACACUCAUGUUUCUCUGUGUCCUAAAGAACAUUUGUGUCUCAAGAAAUUAUCAUAGUUAUUUUUGUUGGAAGAAAGGAGCAUUAGAGGACUGUCUAUAGUCACCCUAAAUUUGAGAAACUAUGACUUAAACGAAAGUUACACAGAUUUCUUUGUGGAAAGACUUCUCCAAAGUCUUCAAUACACUACGUAUAUGCUUUGAAUCUCUAUCGCUUCCCUCUCUCUCUCUCUUUUUUUUUUUUUUGUGGUAGAAUAUCUGUUAAUGUUAUUCAGGAUACUUUUCCUAUAAGGAAUUUGGGAAAUACUACUCAGUUUAAGGAUUCAAGAUGCAGUUGGUUUAAUCAUAGCUAGAGGAUUUUGGCCUCUCACCAGAUGACUUGUGAAAGUAAAGCCCUAGAACAACUAUUAUCUCCUUUUUUGGAAGGUCAUAUGAAAGAGAGAUAUCUAUUUGUCUCACAGUGCAUCGUAUACCCUCUUAAAGGAAGAGGAAAAUGAUCCGGGGGACGCCUGAAGGGCCCUGUAAUUCUCUGGCUUUAGAAUGCAGACUUUUAGAACAUUUUAUCAAUUAAUAUACCUUUGAAAAGGUUAAACUAAAUCUUAAAAAGCGUCUUUGUUAUCCACUCUUUUGUAACAAUUUCUCCAACAAAGUAGUGGUUAAAACAACAAUGAUAUUGUAUCAGCAUUUGCAUGAGUCAGCACUUCAGGAGUGGUUUAGCUGGAUUGUUCUGGCUAAGAGUCUCUUACGGAGUUGCAGUUAGGAUAUAGGCAGAGACUUCUGUCAUCUUCAGGCUUGACUGGGCUUGAAAGGUCUGCUCCUGAACGGUUUACCUAUGUGUCUGUUGGCAGACGAACCCCGUUCCUCACCAUGUAGGCCUCUCCUUAGCUGCUUGGGUGUCCUCAGGACAUCACAGGCAGCCUCAUCUGCUAUGAGUGCUCUGAGAGAAAGUGAAGAGGAAGCCUUUGCCCUUUUAAGCUCUAGUCUCUGAAGUUGUGUACUGUCACUUCCGCCCUAUGCUAUUUUUUAGAAGUGAGUCACUAAGUCUGCUAAAUCAAGGGGGGAGAUUUAGGUUUCAGUCAUUUAUGGAAGAAGAUCAGUGAAUGGGAGCAUAUUUUAAAGCCAAUACAGAAGGUUGAAAUAAUAAGGACAUGAGAAAGGGGCAAGAUAGGGCAGUGCCAGAAUUAUUUAAAUUAUUUAGUUGUGACAUUGUCAAGGGUCUGCAUUCCCUCCACCUUCUGUUCUGCCACGUUUGGUGCCUUGACUUUGUGCUCCAGUUAGACCCACACAGAGUUGCCGGAUGAUUGUGCAAGCAGUGGCUGCCAUAUCCAACCACAACAGCCAGCAGGAAAAACGGUUUUGUCUUUCUUGUGACAUGGUUUUUGAGUAAGGAAACCUUUUCUGGAAGCCCUCAAUGAUUUCCUGUCUUAACUACCUGACCAGAACUGUAUCACCUACUUAAAUCACAGGCAAGAGGAGUGGCUUUGCCAUGACUGGCUUACGUAAAUCGGGAUGCGUUCCUGGGCUAGGGAUCAGGAAGCUUGUCCUCAGGUGGACACUGAAAUAAACUGAGUUUCCUUUGCAAGAAAGAGGGGGAAACACUACUGGGUUGGCAAUAAACUGGUAGUUAACUUUGGAUCCUUGACCUCCUUCCAUGACCGUCUUCUAAUUACCACGCCUUGUGAGCAGGACAACAGCGCCUCUUGUGUGGAAUGUAAAGGAUUAUACUUUAGACAGAAGGUCAAGCCCAGGUAGCCCCUCAGUAACUCUUGAUAUAAUGCUCAUUCUAGUUGAAAGGGGUAAAAAUUCAGAAAAUAUAAUCUCAAAACACAUCUUUAAUAAUAUGCAGUGUUGGUGGCAGAGAGGGGUCAGAUUAAAGUCAUCACUGACAAGGGAAUCAUAUCAUUGUUGGUGAGGUGAAGUGGACUGUUUCUUCUCCUUUUGUCUUAGUGACUGAUAGAGUAAAUUUGUCAUUGUCCUUAUGGGAGUCUAACAUCUAAAGGGAAGUUUGGGGAUGUGUAUUACAAGGUCUAGUAUUGCGUGGAUUGUCGUACAUUUGCUCCCCCGCCUUUUCACACCCUCCCUUUCUUCCACUGCUCUUGCUCAGUCAGAAACUGAGCAGGCCACUGGGGCUGCAGGCCAGUGCUCUGCUCUUGCCUCUCUAUUAUCCUGAGCCCUGCAGAGCUAUUCAGGGUGAUUUCAGCAUCGCUCACCCAAAGGACAUCUCCUCAGCAGGUUGUCAUGUUUCAUCUGUGCUCUGUUUUAGUCAUUUCAUGGAGUUUUUAAAAUUGCUCAACAAUUUCUCAAGACAAAUUCAGGGGAACAGAAGAAAGAAGAAAGAGUAGAAAUAAUCUUCUCUUGGGAGAAAGGCUAAACUUGCUUAGGUACAAAGAUAUUUGAUUAGAUACUUUGCAUUUAGUAGUUUUUUGUUUUUUGUUUUUCCACUCUUUCUCUCACUCUUUCUGCCUUUCUUCCACUUGUUUGGCUUUAAGGGCUCUGAGGGCUUCUGCUUCCCCAUCAUUCAGGGGGCGAGUGAAUGACUGGGAGUGGAAAACUCUGUCUGGCACACAGAAAUUGCCUUGACAAAUUGAAUAACAGCAGAUCCAAGACACAUAAUUAAUUCCUUAAAGACUUUGCCUGAACUGAAAAUGUAUAAAGAUUGGUGUGCAGAUUUCUCAUUUCCUACAGAAUGCUGUGUCAGUCACACACAUGCUAAGAGAAAGAAAGGAAGAUUUCUAUUUAAAAUCAACCUGACAGUGAUUGGGGAAUCUAACUUCAAAGUGUCUAAAUAUUUGUGGCCAGCUCAAGCUCUUCCUUACCAGCUGAAGCUCCCAGGUAAAGAAUCAGCCUGCAAUGCAGGAGACCUGGGUUCAAUCCCUGGGUCAGGAAGAUCCUCUGGUGAAGGGAAUGGCAACCCACUCUAGUAUUUUUGCCUGGAGAUUUCCAUAGACAGAGCAGCCUGGUGGGCUAAAGUCCAUGGGGUAACUCACAAAGAGUUGGACAGGACUGAGUGAUUAACACUUUGUAACCAGCUCCUUAGAUGUGGUGAGGAAAGUCCCUUACUGGAGGCCAGGCCUCUGCAGAGGUGGUGACAGAAGUUGG
Molecule: long non-coding RNA, 5839 nt
Organism: Dama dama (fallow deer)
Lineage: Eukaryota; Metazoa; Chordata; Mammalia; Artiodactyla; Cervidae
Exons: 4
Source: RefSeq, a predicted model, not a curated record